UUGUUUUUUUUUUUUUUUGGUUGAAAAGAAAGUUGGGAUUUUUUUAAAUUAUUUUGCGGAUAAAUUGUCUUUUGUGCCCUCAUGAGGCACAUUUUAAGGAAUUUAUAAAAUACAGAUCGACGGUUGAUAGCAAUAUGAACAAGUUUAUGCAUUACUUAUUAUAAUCCGCCGUUUGAAGAAGAGCAACAAUAUCAAAACAUUUUUUGUUGCUGUGAAAUUCUGCUCUAACGACUUGCAAAGCAUUAAGUGUUACCUCGCGGACAAUAAGCCUGUAAAAGGUACUGGUCCGCCCUUCGGCAUCCCUCAAAGCAGUUUGCAAUGUUCUGUCAAGGAAGUGGUAGCCAAGCUUGAGGACAUUGAACCUGUGAAAGAUACUGUUUUACUGGAAUUCAUCCGUGAUUGCAUUCAACGAAGGCCUUCCAACAUGAUAUAUGUACAAUAUGUAUAAACGUUCGAGCAUGGAUCUUGCAUUAAAAUUAGUAAACAUCAAAGAAGUGCCAGGAUUUACUUAAACGAGUAGUGUAUCAAGGCUUGUGCGUAUGGUAGGAUAUCUAGAAACUCCAUAAGAUUUCUUUUCUCUUUUGACGUGAGCGUACAAAUUUUGAAGCUUGAAUGGGAAACUCCUAACAACUCAAAUGGUCACCGCAAUAUUGAUCAAUUCAAUGCUUUAUUCAUAGUAAGAAAACCGUACCUCCUGUUAUUAGCGCUCCCUUCUGGCGAUCAUAAGCUGUUAAUGCUGUUUACAGUUAGGAGCAGAUUUUUCAUUUCUCUCUUCGAUGCAG
This 782-nucleotide long non-coding RNA is filed under the name Ceratitis capitata (Mediterranean fruit fly). Its description in RNAcentral is "uncharacterized LOC110117934, transcript variant X2". Lineage: Eukaryota; Metazoa; Arthropoda; Insecta; Diptera; Tephritidae. The record is from RNAcentral.